Molecule: non-coding RNA, 792 nt
Filed under: Pongo abelii (Sumatran orangutan)
Lineage: Eukaryota; Metazoa; Chordata; Mammalia; Primates; Hominidae
Source: RNAcentral
CCGGGAGCCACCCCAGCCCCGUGUGUGACUCUCAGAUCCCGAGGCUGGGCUCCUCCCCAGGGAGGCUGCAUGGCUGUGGCACAUACAGGAGGAGGCCCUAAAACCCCAUUGGUCUCAUGUCCAGCACUGAAUCAGGUUCAGCUCGUGGAAGACAUUCAGGAUCCGGUCUCGAGACUUCUGGGCCGACCGUCUCAUGAGGACCCUGCUGAGGAACUUCCUGUCGAAGUGGGACCACCUGUAGGGACAGAUCUCGGGUGUGAGCCUCAGGUGACAGGUGCCCUAGAGCCCACCGGACAUGUGGCCCGGCCCCUUCUCUCCUGAAUUUCAUUUGCUAUAGCGACUCUGCAGGCAUGUUUAAAAUGAGGGAAGCAGCCCCUGCCGCACGCCCAGGCCGUCCGCCGUUUUCACGCCUGUCCUGUUGGAUGGAGGCUGUUAGAUGCAUUUGAAACUGCAUGCCGCCUCCUCCAGAGGGUGGCUCAGGACAGGCCUAACAGAAUUAGAGUAUUCGCUGGUUAUCCGGAUCAGAAGGGACGGUGGCCCGGACGAACUUAGCAGAAACUCUGGGGCACAAGGAGGUGAUGCCUCUCACUCUUGGACAUGGGUGCAGCCGCCAGAGCCGCCCCCCGGGGCAGAGGGUGGGCCCGGGUGAGCUUGUGUACUCAUACCUGGGCAGGCCCCGCGGCAGCAAUGGCAGCUCUCCUGUACAGGCUGAGUUUCAGCCACACCAAGAAGUCAAAGCUAACUGAGGCCGUGCCUUCGGAGACCCCCGGGAUGGCCCCUGGGAGGCCAAGG